This 515-nucleotide ribosomal RNA is filed under the name uncultured bacterium. RNAcentral's name for it is "bacterial SSU rRNA". It matches the Rfam family "Bacterial small subunit ribosomal RNA", at positions 32 to 524 of the family's 1533-position model. The record is from RNAcentral.
AAUCAACGCUGGCGGCGUGCCUCAGACAUGCAAGUCGAACGCGAAAGUCCCCUUCGGGGGACAAGUAGAGUGGCGCACGGGUGAGUAACACGUAGGUAAUCUACCUUCGGAUGGGGAAUAACAACCGGAAACGGUUGCUAAUACCGCAUAAUGCAGCGGCACCUAAUGGUGACAGUUGUUAAAGCGGGGGAUCGAAAGACCCCGCGUCUGAAGAGGAGCCUGCGGCGGAUUAGCUAGUUGGAAGGUAAUGGCUUACCAAGGCGACGAUCCGUAGCCGGCCUGAGAGGGCGGUCGGCCACACUGACACUGACAUACGGGUCAGACUCCUACGGGAGGCAGCAGUCGGGAAUUUUGGGCAAUGGGCGAAAGCCUGACCCAGCAAACGCCGCGUGAAGGAUGAAAUCCCUCGGGAUGUAAACUUCGCAAGAACGGGAAGAAUAAGUAGGGGACAACACCUCCUAUGAUGACGGUACCGUUUGAAGCUCCGGCUAACUCCGUGCCAGCCGCCGCUUAAC